Neofelis nebulosa (Clouded leopard) is the source of this 1261-nucleotide long non-coding RNA. RefSeq lists it as uncharacterized. Lineage: Eukaryota; Metazoa; Chordata; Mammalia; Carnivora; Felidae. The transcript has 2 exons. The record is from RefSeq and is a predicted model, not a curated record.
CACAAACAUGGAUUCAGGAAGUUCUGGAGAUGUGCUGGGGGCUAGUGGAGAUGACCAGCUGGAGAUUUGGCUCCUUGGAGAGACAGUGGUUGGCUAGACCUGAGCUCCAGAGGAAGGUGUUGGCACAGGCUGGAAAAAAUGUCUUCUCCUGACCUGGAGGUGGAAUGUUACUAUGGAAGGAAUCCUGAGGGAAAAAAGAGUUCUCUUGCUCGGCCUGGACAUACAGACGGGAUUCUUGAGAAGAGCUCAUUUUGAGCCCAGCAUUUCUCUAACUAACUUACAGCCCAGCACCCCUCUUCCACUUCACUGCCCCAUCCCUGAUCCCCAAGGGAAACCAUACCAGAUUGGGAGGAUGGCGAUGCUGGUGGGGGAGGGGGAGACAUCUGUAGUGAAGUGACUGUAGAGCACGAGAACAUGAGACAACUCUCCCAUCACUUAGUAACAAGGCCUUCUGUUGGUUACAUUUUAUGUGUCAAUUUGGAGAGGCCGCAGUGCCCAGAGAGUUGGUUAAGUCUUUUCUGGAUGUUUCUGUGAGGGUGUUUUUGGAUCAGAUUUACAUUAAAUCAGUGGGCUGUGAAUAAAGCAGAUUGCCUUCCAUAAUGUGGGUGGGCCUCAUCCAAGCAGUUGAAGGCCUGAAUAGAACAAAAGGCUGACCCUCCUCUGAGUAAGAGGGAAUUCUGCCAGGAGACUGCCUUCAUUUGCAACACUGGCUCUUCCUGGCUUGCUGGCAGAACCUUUACACUCCAACUGCAACUGUUUCCUGAGUCUCCAACCUGCCAGCUUCCCGCUUCAGAUUUUGGACUUGCCAAGCCGCCACAAUGGCAUGAGCAUACUCCUGAAAAUAGAUUUCUUUAUAUAUAUGUAUACCCUAUUCUGUUUUCUGGAGAGCCUUGACUAAUAUAGGCCCAUAUUUCUCUGGCUUCAGGAGGGACACUUGGAACAAAAAGGAAAUAUUGCUCUGAUCUCACCAAAAGGAGACUGAAAGACCGCCAACCAGGGACAGGAGCUUCCUGAGUAGGAGCUGAGGCCUCUGUGCGGCAAUUUAGUGAGAGCAUAGCCGGUCAUCAACUUCUGGUUGGGCAAAGACAACAAGAGACAUGUCCAAGUUCAGCCUCAGGAACCACCUUGGAUGGCAGAAGCUGGCCCUCGAAGCUUCCCUAACAAAUAACAGCAAUUCUCGAGAGUCCUCAUACACACAAGAUAAUGCUUUAGCAGUCAACAGGGGCUCUCAACUCUGAAAUAAAUGACGUCCACUUGGUCA